CUGCUUUAUUUGGCAGCACAUAACACUAAAACUAGAAUGGUACAGGGAAGAUUAGGAUGACCCCUGUGGAGGGAUGACAUGCAAAUUCCUGAAGCAUUCCUUAUUUUU
This 108-nucleotide small nuclear RNA is filed under the name Chinchilla lanigera (long-tailed chinchilla). Lineage: Eukaryota; Metazoa; Chordata; Mammalia; Rodentia; Chinchillidae. The record is from RNAcentral.